This 1710-nucleotide long non-coding RNA is filed under the name Homo sapiens (human). RNAcentral's name for it is "HSALNT0360036". The record is from RNAcentral. Lineage: Eukaryota; Metazoa; Chordata; Mammalia; Primates; Hominidae.
AGACAGAAGAAGAGGCAGAACUCUACAGAGCCAAUGCCAAACACAUAUCUAAAGCCAAAGAAUUUUGUUUCGCUACCCUUCGUUGAAGUAAAAACAGCUCCAAGAGUAUUCCCUGGAGUGUGAGAUGGUUCUCUCACAUACGGGGUUCAAAGACACUGUGAGGCGUGUAGCAUAGCUGAAAGUGUCUGUAUGUAAUAAUGCCUUUAUGAUGUUGUUUUGUUUCUGGCUUGCCUGUACCUGAAUUAUCUGAAGACAUUGUUUGAGGCUAUGAAAAAAUAUGAAUAAUAUUAGGCCUUGAGAUCAAAAAUCAUUUUUUACUUCCAUGGUUGUUAGCUGCCAAUAUCCCACGCACAGCUCUCAAUUUCCAAAGCAGCAGUGAAAUGCUGGAGAGAUCAGAAAAGAAGAGAACGGCAGUGUCAACUCACCUCUGGUCUCUUCUUGUUAGCAAGUUCAAGAGACACUUGGCGAUAUUGACUGCAGAAUACAAAGAUGAAAUUCAAGGGUUCCUAGAGGGUGUCUGUCCGUAGAAACAAAGGACAUCCUCAUCUUGAAAACGCUUCAUCCACCUCUUCCUUGUCUCCUCUCAAACACAUCUUGGCUCUUGUGUGGAAAUGUGUGGCCUCCCCCUCUCAGGUUGCAGCAUCGGGGGUCCUCCCUCCUUGGGUCCUCGGGUCCCCACUGUCACUUGCCCUUACUCCCCGAGGAGGUUCUCUUUCUCUAGCUUGAGGCCGGUUCUCACGCUGGACCAUGAUCAUAAGCCUCCAGAUAAUAGAAGUUUUCACCCUCCUUCUAAAUGACCUCCGCUCCUGAUAGAGAAUUAAAGGUGUUCGAUAUUCCAUAAAAAACUGGCUGGUUGACCCUGCGAAGUAGUUACUGAAGAAACUUCUUACUGCUCAGGACUAUCUUUGGCUUCCGCAUAUAAAGGAUCAGUGUGAGCCACAGAAACUUCCCCAAGCUAUGCAAGGUUGUGCCAAGUUCUGUGGGGAAUAGAAAGUUUUAGGUGAGUUGGUUUGAUUUUUGUAAUUUCCUAAAGACAUUUGACAUCAGAAGCUUCUGGGGCUCCAGAUGUCUGGGUCUCUGUGGCAUGACCCAGCGUGAGGCAAGAUGCCGAGAGAACAGACAUCGCUCGUUCUGCAGCCCUCUGCAGAUAAUUAGCAUGGCUAAGAAGCAAACAAAUUCCUGCCUACUGCUCUAUGUGGCUCUUGCGGAAGUCUGGGAGAGAGGGACUUUUUCUUUCUCAGUCGAGGCACGUGGAGGUGACUCGGGAGAGAGGCAGGGAAGAUGAAAACGCCGACUUGUGAAGCCACACCGCGACAUGCUCUGUGAACUUCUGGUUUGCAAAUGAAAUUUCUCCCACAGACAAUGCAGGCAGCAUCAAGCCCUGAUUGAAGACACAACUCAUGAAAGUCUCCAAUUCAGAUUUGGAAAAACCUCCAGCCACUGAAGGCAGAAGGCAGAGCUAGAAAUAAUGAACCACAUUAACUAAGAAAUCGCAAAAGCCAUCUCUAUUAGACAGCUGUGCAGGUCAAAAGGAAACCAGACAGGAGACAUCAAGAGGAAACUCAGGCUCCCCAGGAUAAUUGCAGUGCAAUUAAUCCAGGGUGAGUCACGGCCCUGGUGAAAGUGGGAUCCUGCUGCAGUUAGGAGGGAGAGGGUGCUGGGACCAUCCCUGGCUCUGUCAGCCGCAAUUCUCCUUCCUCACCAUCUGUG